This 231-nucleotide ribosomal RNA is filed under the name uncultured bacterium. Its description in RNAcentral is "partial 16S ribosomal RNA". It matches the Rfam family "Bacterial small subunit ribosomal RNA", at positions 103 to 334 of the family's 1533-position model. The record is from RNAcentral.
CGGGUGAGUAACACGUGGGCAACCUGCCCUCAGCUCUGGGAUAACUCCAAGAAAUUGGGGCUAAUACCGGAUAUGACUGCUGACCGCAUGGUCUGGUGGUGGAAAGAUUUAUCGGCUGGGGAUGGGCCCGCGGCCUAUCAGCUUGUUGGUGGGGUAGUGGCCUACCAAGGCGACGACGGGUAGCCGGCCUGAGAGGGUGACCGGCCACACUGGGACUGAGAUACGGGCCAG